GCUGCUGCUGUUGCUGUUGGGCGGCCAACUGUUGAGCCAUUGUCAAGUCCCGCCUCGGUAUUUCCGGCGGUGACUGAAGCACCUCCAUGUAUUCACGGAUCAGAUUCGCUAUCUGAUGAGCCUGAGGAAUAAAAUCAUGAAAAGAUGUUCUGAAUAUCGACAUAUGACUGACUGCUUGGAUCACUUUACCUGCGACGUCGUAAGGAUGACCUUGCUCUGCUUCUUAUCCGUACCGGUAAUGAUCAUCAAGCAAUUAACGGCGGGUGUAUAACUUAGAAUACUGUUAUAUU
Long non-coding RNA from Solenopsis invicta (red fire ant), 290 nucleotides. RefSeq lists it as uncharacterized. Lineage: Eukaryota; Metazoa; Arthropoda; Insecta; Hymenoptera; Formicidae. The record is from RefSeq and is a predicted model, not a curated record. The transcript has 2 exons.